UUAUAUUUUGGUGUAUGAUGCACGUAAGUUUUUGAAACUUUUGGGAAUAGUUUAACUCUAUUAAAUAUAAU
This 71-nucleotide transfer RNA is filed under the name Apotropina sp. RNAcentral describes it as "tRNA-Gln". Lineage: Eukaryota; Metazoa; Arthropoda; Insecta; Diptera; Chloropidae. The record is from RNAcentral.